CAUUUACUCCGUAGAUAGCAGAGGUCCCGGAAUGGGAAAGGUCGGGUUUUGACAGUUCUCGGGGGAGAAUCCGUCUUGGGACGCCUGACAGAAAACACCAGGGGAAUGGAUCCGGGAAAUAAAUCCAGCAGGUCGGGGAGGAACGAGAAGACAGGGGGGUUUGCAUUUCGCUGUGUACAUUAAAAACGUCUGGUGCCGGUAUCCUCGGCUUCAAGUUCCUGUCCUGACUGCCCUCAAGACUGACGUGACCUGGAGGCUGGGUGAGCUCUCCCUCCCUUAAGUCACCCCUGGCCAUGCUAUUUGCCCCAUCGCCGGAAUGAAACGGACAGAACACAAGCUGCACGGGUAAGCGGAGACAGCGCCAGCGACCCCAGCGGAGGAGGGCUGGCGGUAAAGCAGGUCUGAGAACAGCGGUAACAGUAGAAGGGAGUCUUAGAAGAGAGGUAACUGUAGUCUGAUAUCAGAAGAGGCGCAUGAGCUCGCCUCAGUACACAGAGUUCCCAGGAAGGCCCUGCAGAACAGUGAACCCUCGAGGGAACGUCUGAUCUGUCAGCCUGGCUGGGAGAUGGGAAGGGACACUGAGGAAGAUUAACGGAAGCCGUCAGCAGUGACCAGCCAGCUCUGGAAACAACGGGCACAAAUACCGUUUCCAAUCACUAGAAACAUGCUAGCAGGGGAGAGAUGGUUCAGCCAUUAUGGGUAAUGGACACGCUUCCUGAGGUUAAUUCCCAGCAACCACGGGGUGGCUCACAACCAUCUGUAAUGGCAUCUGAUGCCCCCCCCCCUUUCUGGCAUGCAGAUGUAAAAGCAGAUAGAAUACUUACAUACAUAAUGUAAAAAAUUCUUAAGAAAAAAAAAAAA
RNAcentral lists this long non-coding RNA (861 nucleotides) under Mus musculus musculus (eastern European house mouse). RNAcentral describes it as "partial lncRNA-BTX". Lineage: Eukaryota; Metazoa; Chordata; Mammalia; Rodentia; Muridae. The record is from RNAcentral.